This 526-nucleotide ribosomal RNA is filed under the name uncultured bacterium. RNAcentral's name for it is "bacterial SSU rRNA". It matches the Rfam family "Bacterial small subunit ribosomal RNA", at positions 40 to 518 of the family's 1533-position model. The record is from RNAcentral.
CGGCAUGCCUAAGACAUGCAAGUCGAACGAGACGGCCCAUUGAAAAUGAAGUGCUGCACAGAUUUGGAUUUGGAUUCCCGUCUAGUGGCGCAAGGGUGAGUAAUACAUGGGUAAUCUGCCUUCGAGUUUGGAAUAACAAUUAGAAAUGAUUGCUAAUGCCGAAUUAUAUAUUUUUAGAUAAGUCUUUAAAUAUUAAAAGGAGCCUUUAAAGCUUCGCUUGAAGAUGAGCCCAUGCCGUAUUAGCUUGUUGGUGGGGCAAUGGCCUACCAAGGCAACGAUGCGUAGCCGACCUGAGAGGGUGAUCGGCCACACUGGGACUGAGACACGGCCCAGACUCCUACGGGAGACAGCAGUUAGGAAUAUUCGUCAAUGGGGGAAACCCUGAACGAGCAAUGCCGCGUGAAAGGAUGACGGUUCUAUGAAUUGUAAACUUCUGUUGUUAGGGAAGAACGACCUAUAUAGGAAAUGAUAUAGGAGUGACGGUACCUUUCAAGAAAGCUCCGGCUAACUACGUGCCAGCCGCUGC